UGCAACCUGCACUCCAUAAAUCAAUACCUACACCAUAAUCAGUAGCACCUAGAAGCAGCUCUGGUGGUCUAUACCAGAGAGUAACCACUCGACUAGUCAUUUGAUGCUUAUGAGAAGGAUCGAAAAUAGUAGCCAGUCCAAAGUCAGCAAUUCUGAGAAUGCCAGAAUUGUCAAGAAGAAGAUUUGACCCCUUAAUAUCGCGAUGAAGCACAUGACGAUUGUGACAAUGCUCAAGGCCAGACAACAGCUGAUGCAUGUAGCAUUUAACCUGUGCUUCGGUAAACUUGAUCUCUGGACUUGCAGCAAGUCCAGCCAAAUCAUGAUCCAUGUACUCAAAGACCAGGUAUAAACUACAUGACAUUCGUGAGGUAACCAAGCCUUCCAAUUUGAUGACAUUAGGAUGAUCUAGUUGUCGCAAAAUUAUAAUUUCUCUAGCCAUGAAUCUCACACUCUCAGGUUCUAGAUUGUCAAAACGCACUUUCUUUAGAGCAACAAUUUUACCAGUAACAGUAUCUCUCGCCUUGUAGACAUUACUGUAUGUCCCUUGGCCAAUCUUAUCAAUUUUCUCAAAAGUGUCAGCGCGUCGUGGGAGCCAACCAUCAAUUGCUUCCCCAACAUGAGCAGAGAGCCAGGAAGGCCAUCCAGCAGCAACCUGCUCCCCAUGUUUAUGCUUAGGUGGAUUACUUAAUCUUGGAUCAGGCUUCGACCUUCUCUUUUCUUUCCUAGAUUUUCCGUCAUGCUCCGUCUUGUCAUCCUUCUUAGUUUCAUCACCUUCAUCGGCUUCCACAACUUCAGUGUCAACAGUUACAUUUUCAGCCCCCUUGACCUCAAAAGUUUCAGUGGAUUCAGCGCUAAUGCUCUGACUCUUCUUCUCAUAAUGUGCACCUUCCCUUUUCUCCUCUCUGCCAUUGUGUACUAAGCCUGAUGAAGCUUCCCGACCCAAAACACACCCCAUCUUUCAGGUCUACACUUCAUAACUCAACAUUCUCAUGGAUUAACCAACCAAUUUCCACAAUCAACUCAGAAUCUACAACACUUGCUGGGUUGAUCAAAUCUGAGCCAAAAAUAGGAAAUAAGAGAGAGAGAGUUUUAUGUGGUGUCUGUAGUCUUCAACGUUUCUUUGCUGUAAGACAAGAAAAGAGUAUAAUCAUAAAAGAAUCAAUCGGACAACCAAUCUCUUCAGUAUAUACAAAUA
RNAcentral lists this unclassified non-coding RNA (1195 nucleotides) under Hevea brasiliensis (rubber tree). The record is from RNAcentral. Lineage: Eukaryota; Viridiplantae; Streptophyta; Magnoliopsida; Malpighiales; Euphorbiaceae.